CAAAACGUCAUCCUGAGCACAUCUGCUCUCUGAUCUCAGAAGCUAAGCAGGGCCGGGCCUGGUUAAGUGUGGGCCCAGCUGUUUGGG
This 87-nucleotide ribosomal RNA is filed under the name Amphilophus citrinellus (Midas cichlid). The record is from RNAcentral. Lineage: Eukaryota; Metazoa; Chordata; Actinopteri; Cichliformes; Cichlidae.